Molecule: long non-coding RNA, 1034 nt
Filed under: Heterocephalus glaber (naked mole-rat)
Lineage: Eukaryota; Metazoa; Chordata; Mammalia; Rodentia; Bathyergidae
Description: lncRNA (ENSHGLG00000049502.1)
Source: RNAcentral
UUGCACUCAAUGUCUUUGGGAAACUCAUAUUGGGACAGAAACAAAGCCACAUCUCCUACCUGGUGUCUGGGUGGACAGAGCUUCCAGAAGCAGGCAAAAGUGCAGGGGCCUCUAAACAUUCUUGACCAUGAGGUCAGUCUCCUCUAUUCAUCAUCACUUCACAGGGAGAUUACCAGGACUUUUCACUGUACGCUAAAGAGCUUCUGUGCAGGGAUCAGUGGUUUUGUGCUGAGAAGUCUGGAAGUCUGGCCUAAGACAAGUUCUACACAGGAGACACUGGAGAUAAAGAGGAAGCCGCCAGGGCCCUGUCAAGCAGAAGGACUUGGUGGUCUAGAACCCUUGCCACUACAGGAAAAGCGAGUCUCACUAGUGUGGACCCUACUGAUCAGGGGGUCACUUCUCUGGUGGGGGGCUCAGAAGCAAAAAGAACUCUGCUCCCAGCAUCACCAUUCAGGCCACACAACCCCAGCCUGACCUCCCCUAAUGCCAUAUCACUCUUUGUACUUCUGCUCCUGAGACGCUCGAUUUCUGUCAAGGCAUGCCUGUGGGCUGAGAGUCAGUCUUUUCCUACAACGACCUCAACCUUGGUGUGAGGCUCAACACCAAUCAUCAACCCAUCUAAAUUCAACGUUGUUUUCACCAAGCAGAACAUGGGUGGAGCUGUGGAGUGGCACUAUUGGGAAUGUUGUCUCGUGUGAUCCCUAACUCUAAGUGUGUGUUGAAGGGAUGUAUCACUGGAAAAAGGGGGAAGUGCUUUAUCUGUUUUCUUGUAAAUUUCACUGUCCCUAGUUUUAUCACACAAUCUCUUUUAUUCUCCAUCUUCUCUGAAAUGAUUCCCAGCAGAGACUGCUAAAGGGAAUUAUUACAAACGCCUUUUGUGGGUUAAAAAACAGUAUUGAAGACCAGAUUACAAUUAGAUGGCAAUUUUAAAAACACCAAAAACAGGCAAUGAGUGAAUAUCAUUGUCAACAUUAUUGUUUCAUUAUCAAAUGGUACAAAACUAUACCUUACUAAUGAUGGUAUCUGGUCAUGGG